RNAcentral lists this ribosomal RNA (474 nucleotides) under uncultured bacterium. RNAcentral's name for it is "bacterial SSU rRNA". It matches the Rfam family "Bacterial small subunit ribosomal RNA", at positions 328 to 793 of the family's 1533-position model. The record is from RNAcentral.
CGCUAUCACUCCUACGGGAGGCAGCAGGUAGGGAAUCUUCCACAAUGGGCGCAAGCCUGAUGGAGCAACACCGCGUGAGUGAAGAAGGGUUUCGGCUCGUAAAGCUCUGUUGUUAAAGAAGAACACGUAUGAGAGUAACUGUUCAUACGUUGACGGUAUUUAACCAGAAAGUCACGGCUAACUACGUGCCAGCAGCCGCGGUAAUACGUAGGUGGCAAGCGUUAUCCGGAUUUAUUGGGCGUAAAGAGAGUGCAGGCGGUUUUCUAAGUCUGAUGUGAAAGCCUUCGGCUUAACCGGAGAAGUGCAUCGGAAACUGGAUAACUUGAGUGCAGAAGAGGGUAGUGGAACUCCAUGUGUAGCGGUGGAAUGCGUAGAUAUAUGGAAGAACACCAGUGGCGAAGGCGGCUACCUGGUCUGCAACUGACGCUGAGACUCGAAAGCAUGGGUAGCGAACAGGAUUAGAUACCCUGGUAG